UACGGAGGGUGCAAGCGUUAUCCGGAUUCACUGGGUUUAAAGGGUGCGUAGGUGGGUUGGUAAGUCAGUGGUGAAAUCUCCGAGCUUAACUUGGAAACUGCCAUUGAUACUAUCAGUCUUGAAUACCGUGGAGGUCAGCGGAAUAUGUCAUGUAGCGGUGAAAUGCUUAGAUAUGACAUAGAACACCAAUUGCGAAGGCAGCUGGCUACUCGGAUAUUGACACUGAGGCACGAAAGCGUGGGGAUCAAACAGG
RNAcentral lists this ribosomal RNA (253 nucleotides) under uncultured bacterium. Its description in RNAcentral is "partial 16S ribosomal RNA". It matches the Rfam family "Bacterial small subunit ribosomal RNA", at positions 524 to 776 of the family's 1533-position model. The record is from RNAcentral.